This 510-nucleotide ribosomal RNA is filed under the name uncultured bacterium. RNAcentral's name for it is "partial 16S ribosomal RNA". It matches the Rfam family "Bacterial small subunit ribosomal RNA", at positions 28 to 507 of the family's 1533-position model. The record is from RNAcentral.
GACGAACGCUGGCGGCGUGCUUAACACAUGCAAGUCGAACGAAGAGCGAUGGACGCUUGCUUCUAUCAAUCUUAGUGGCGAACGGGUGAGUAACGCGUAAUCAACCUGCCCUUCAGAGGGGGACAACAGUUGGAAACGACUGCUAAUACCGCAUACGAUCUAAUCUCGGCAUCGAGGAUAGAUGAAAGGUGGCCUCUACAUGUAAGCUAUCACUGAAGGAGGGGAUUGCGUCUGAUUAGCUAGUUGGAGGGGUAACGGCCCACCAAGGCGAUGAUCAGUAGCCGGACUGAGAGGAUGAACGGCCACAUUGAGACUGAGACACGGCCCAGACUCCUACGGGAGGCAGCAGUGGGGAAUCUUCCGCAAUGGACGAAAGUCUGACGGAGCAACGCCGCGUGAGUGAUGACGGCCUUCGGGUUGUAAAGCUCUGUUAAUCGGGACGAAAGGCCUUCUUGCGAAUAGUGAGAAGGAUUGACGGUACCGGAAUAGAAAGCCACGGCUAACUACGUG